This 3672-nucleotide long non-coding RNA is filed under the name Prunus dulcis (almond). Its description in RNAcentral is "sRNA ncRNA". Lineage: Eukaryota; Viridiplantae; Streptophyta; Magnoliopsida; Rosales; Rosaceae. The record is from RNAcentral.
CGGUAAUUACAAACAUUUCCUCUUCUGCAAAUUGGGAGGGAGAGAAAAUGCAUUAUCAACAUUCACAAGCUUCGCUUUGCAAAUUGCUUUGCAGACGCUCUUUCAAUGGUUCUCCAAAGCUCUUUUCCCUCAACUCGCUCACAACGAGUCCGGCUCAGUGCGUUUCAGACUCAGCUCCAUUGCCGAAACCCAAGACUCCUGAGCUUCUUCUUCACAAACCCACCACAAAUUCCCCCCAUUGUCUUCACCCGACGUUCUCGAACUCAUCCCAGUUCAUAAAUCGUCAUAAUCUGAGACAAUUCAGCGGUGGGGCGGAUGGGUUUGAUCAGAACAAAGAGGUGGACAUGAUCAACCUCAAGUUUGCAGAGGCAAGGGAGGAGAUAGAGAUGGCCAUGGAGUCCAAAGAGACUGUUUAUUUUGAUGAAGAGGCAGAGUGUGCUCGAACUGCUGUGAAGGAAGUGCUGGACCUGUUUGAUGGGCUAUUGGCGAAGUCGCCGGAGGACAAAAAGGCAGCAUUGCAGAGGGCGAUGGGGCUCAAGAUUGAGCAGUUGAAGGCUGAGCUGAAACAGUUGGAUGAGUGAUAAUGAGGUUGGUGGAUAUGAGGUUUUGCCCCUGUUUUCGUGUUUCGAUCAAUUCGUUUAUGCUUUGAUUAUGUAAUUUCUGAUUUUUGACGACAAGUUAGGCAAAGAGUUGGUGGUACUAAAUUAGGGAUGAUUGUUUGAAUAAUUGGCUGUUUGUAUUUUACAAGAAAAGGAAAUAAAUUAUUCAAAUCUUGCUAAUUGUGGAAAUUGGUGUACUCUGCAGUUCAUGUUCUAAAUUGCAUUCUUGCUAAUUGCCUUAUGCAUUGUGCAGAAAAAUCUAGGAUUUUUUUUUAUACCAUGUCUAUAAUCCUUAUGUUUUUUUGUUUUUAGUAUCAUUUAUUCUAAGAGUAGAUGAAACCAGUCAACUGAAUGGUAUAAAGAGUUAUUAGUGAUAUGGUGCCUACAUAUUUUGCGGGUAUUUAAGUUAUAUUGGCAUUGUUAUUUGUAAAGGCGAAAUCCAUUAGAUAGGACCUGGCAAUUAGAUCCUAUUCCUACCAGUAAGAUUAGUUGCUACCAAUCAAAUACCCAGGAAAACCAACUAAACAAGUUAGUUCAUUCCAGAAACAUCUAGCAACAAUAAGGAUCUUACUUAAGAUACAAGUAAGGCACAAAUGAAAGGUUUUUUUUAAAGCCUGAUGGAGCCAUUGCCUUCGCCAAAACAAUUGAUUAUUUUUUCGUCAGAAGCCAUAUUUUCCAGUCUCUGGUGUUGAGGACCCAAAACCUAUGCUGCUGCAUGAUCACAACCGUACCCUAAUGUUGUCACUCUGCAGAAGGAAAUGUGCUAACAUCACCCACUACAUCAGUUGGUACUCAUUUCUAUAAACUUUCUUGUUUGUUUGCAUAAUUCAAAGCAAGAACCAAUAAUAUAUAGUUAGAGAAUGCCCCAAUCUUUAAGAGGUACAGGAGCUUUGAGGAUAGUUAGCUAAGACUCUUAAAUGGUCUCUUAAUUUAUGUUUGGGAGCUUGAGGGCUAGUGGCGGAACACAUUGUGAGUUGCCAAAUAUCCCUCAGAUGUCAUAAAAAAAAAAAAACUGCAAGGUCCAUGAAGGGAGACAGGCUUGCAUAAUUGAUUCUUGUAUCUGUCAAUCUCGGUUAUCUUUUUAACCAUAAAAGAAACUGCAAAAUAUUGAAAAGUUGACCACUAUUGAUCAGGAACUGGACUUCUUUUGGAAAACCUAGAUAAUUUUGAAAGUUUGCUCCAACUCUUGGUAAUGUAGCUAAAUCAAAUAAAACUUCUAGGGAGACCUACAUUCAAAUAUGAUAAAGUAAAAGUGCAGAUAUGUUAUGCAAAUGCAUGUCUGGUUUGUUACUGUUCAUUUAUCUUCUUCUCCUCUUCGUUCUCUUCUUCUUCUUAUAUUUAAUUAAGUUUGUUGAUUUCGAUUCUUACAAUUUCUUUUUCCUUUAGUCAUUCUUCCCUGUGUGUGUUUUCCAUAUUUUUCCAGCAUCCCUUAUCAAAUUCAGGUAGGACCUGAACUGAUCUUUUUAGUGCACAAGUGCACUAUCUUCUUUCCUGGUACUAAACUGUGGUUGGUGGCAGUAUGAAAAAAUGGAAGUUUCGGUUAAAUCUAAACACUUUUAUUUGGUAAUUGAUGAUCCAAGAUAGCUUAAAUGAUUUGAUUAAGAGUUCUUAUGAGGGGUUAUCUUAAGAUGGGUCACAUUAUUUUGGAAGUCCUCUUUUUCACUGGUGAAUACAGACAUUGAAAUUCCUCUUAUGCACUACUGUUUCUCAUACUAAGCUCUGAUUGAUUGCUCUGCAAAUGUAGAAGAAAAUAAAAUCUUGUUCCCCCACAAUUUGGGUGUAUUUGCAUUGUAGGUUUCUAAGGUGCAAUAAGCCCAAUGAAAUUCUGGAAGAAGGAGAUUUGAUACUAAUACAGAUAUGUAAUAUAAAGGCUGAUGCUUAGAACAGGUUAUCUAAAGUUGACAAACCCAUAUAGGGAAUCAGUGAAAAAGGCUUCUGGAAAUUACCUGGUGCUGGAAACGCCUGAGAAAUAAUAUUCAUUGUUUCAUCCUUUAUUUUUAAAUAUUUUUCUUAAGAAGCAUUUCUUGAGUUUAGCUUGUUAAUGACAUUUUCUUUUUGUCGUUUUGAAUGAAAUAGUUCCUAAAUAGUUUAGCACUAUGCUUAGUGUUUUUAAAAAAAAAAAAAUUUAUUUCAAUGCAAUCACUAUUGAAUAAAUAAGAGAAUAAGAUUGUACAGGAGAAUCCUCCACUCCAAACCUGUUUGAUGUGGUAUUUAAGAACUUUUUAGAAUGAGGCACAGGAACCAAGUUUAAGUAAAGAAACAGCUGCUAAACUAACUACAAUGGCUAGCAAUAGUUUUGCUAAAACCCUUUUUCUUUUUUUUUCUUUUUUUCAUUUUAUGAUUUGAGAGUAACGUUGACAGGUGAAUGAGAUUUGCAUUUAUUUUAGGCAUAGGUGCAAAGCUCUGAUAUUAUGUUGACUAUAUUAGGAUUUAAAAAUGAUUUAUUUCGUUUCACUUGUAUUGAAUUAUUUUCAGGAGCUUAAUUUAUUUUGGGGGUUUCCUAUAGGCCUUAUUGUGAUAGGUGGCUUCAAGUUGACUCUGAGUUUAUCCUAAUUCCGUCUCCUGUUUUGUUACUUCUCAUAUUCAAUCUCUCUCUCUCUCUCUCUCUCUCUCUCUCUCUCUCUCUCUCCUUUUUUCUAUUAUCUUUAUCCUCUAUCCAUAUUAUUUUCUCUGUCCUGCAUCAAUUUAGAAACAGAAAUAAUGGUACUAGAUUUUGAUAAGUGAAUGUGCUGGCCAGCAUUCGAGUUCAUUUGAUUGUAUAUUCUCCUUUUCUUUCACACGCUAGGACGCCACAGGUGUAGCAUAGAAGAGACCAAAAGAAGAUGGAUAAAGAAAAAGCAAUUGGCACAAGUAUGUUGAAGCAUUAAUAGGUUUGCAGAAGAGGACAUGGUUUGUCAUGUGGUGGGCAUGGGCUAUCUAGAUUAGUCCUUGGAACUACUCUAUGGUGGCCUUCCAAUUGUGGAGGCUCCAAAAUAUGAAUUUACCUGACUCCACCUUGAUGAUUUUGCUGUGCCAUAAUGUCUAGAAUCAGUUGACUGAAUUGAAUAAUAUAAAAAAAGAAGAAGAUAUUAAG